AUUGAACGCUGGCGGCAUGCCUUACACAUGCAAGUCGAACGGCAGCGCGGGAGCAAUCCUGGCGGCGAGUGGCGAACGGGUGAGUAAUAUAUCGGAACGUGCCCUGUAGCGGGGGAUAGCCCGGCGAAAGCCGGAUUUAAUACCGCAUACGCUCUACGGAGGAAAGCGGGGGUUCUUGGGGCAACUGAGGACCUCGCACUAUAGGAGCCGGCCGAUAUCGGAUUAGCUAGUUGGCGGGGUAAAAGCCCACCAAGGCUACGAUCCGUAGCUGGUCUGAGAGG
This 281-nucleotide ribosomal RNA is filed under the name uncultured bacterium. RNAcentral's name for it is "partial 16S ribosomal RNA". It matches the Rfam family "Bacterial small subunit ribosomal RNA", at positions 30 to 299 of the family's 1533-position model. The record is from RNAcentral.